This 1144-nucleotide ribosomal RNA is filed under the name Escherichia coli. RNAcentral's name for it is "bacterial LSU rRNA". It matches the Rfam family "Bacterial large subunit ribosomal RNA", at positions 1 to 1176 of the family's 2925-position model. The record is from RNAcentral. Lineage: Bacteria; Pseudomonadati; Pseudomonadota; Gammaproteobacteria; Enterobacterales; Enterobacteriaceae.
GGGUUGUGAGGUUAAGCGACUAAGCGUACACGGUGGAUGCCCUGGCAGUCAGAGGCGAUGAAGGACGUGCUAAUCUGCGAUAAGCGUCGGUAAGGUGAUAUGAACCGUUAUAACCGGCGAUUUCCGAAUGGGGAAACCCAGUGUGUUUCGACACACUAUCAUUAACUGAAUCCAUAGGUUAAUGAGGCGAACCGGGGGAACUGAAACAUCUAAGUACCCCGAGGAAAAGAAAUCAACCGAGAUUCCCCCAGUAGCGGCGAGCGAACGGGGAGCAGCCCAGAGCCUGAAUCAGUGUGUGUGUUAGUGGAAGCGUCUGGAAAGGCGCGCGAUACAGGGUGACAGCCCCGUACACAAAAAUGCACAUGCUGUGAGCUCGAUGAGUAGGGCGGGACACGUGGUAUCCUGUCUGAAUAUGGGGGGACCAUCCUCCAAGGCUAAAUACUCCUGACUGACCGAUAGUGAACCAGUACCGUGAGGGAAAGGCGAAAAGAACCCCGGCGAGGGGAGUGAAAAAGAACCUGAAACCGUGUACGUACAAGCAGUGGGAGCACGCUUAGGCGUGUGACUGCGUACCUUUUGUAUAAUGGGUCAGCGACUUAUAUUCUGUAGCAAGGUUAACCGAAUAGGGGAGCCGAAGGGAAACCGAGUCUUAACUGGGCGUUAAGUUGCAGGGUAUAGACCCGAAACCCGGUGAUCUAGCCAUGGGCAGGUUGAAGGUUGGGUAACACUAACUGGAGGACCGAACCGACUAAUGUUGAAAAAUUAGCGGAUGACUUGUGGCUGGGGGUGAAAGGCCAAUCAAACCGGGAGAUAGCUGGUUCUCCCCGAAAGCUAUUUAGGUAGCGCCUCGUGAAUUCAUCUCCGGGGGUAGAGCACUGUUUCGGCAAGGGGGUCAUCCCGACUUACCAACCCGAUGCAAACUGCGAAUACCGGAGAAUGUUAUCACGGGAGACACACGGCGGGUGCUAACGUCCGUCGUGAAGAGGGAAACAACCCAGACCGCCAGCUAAGGUCCCAAAGUCAUGGUUAAGUGGGAAACGAUGUGGGAAGGCCCAGACAGCCAGGAUGUUGGCUUAGAAGCAGCCAUCAUUUAAAGAAAGCGUAAUAGCUCACUGGUCGAGUCGGCCUGCGCGGAAGAUGUAAC